RNAcentral lists this ribosomal RNA (550 nucleotides) under uncultured bacterium. RNAcentral's name for it is "partial 16S ribosomal RNA". It matches the Rfam family "Bacterial small subunit ribosomal RNA", at positions 355 to 896 of the family's 1533-position model. The record is from RNAcentral.
UGGGGAAUUUUGGACAAUGGGCGCAAGCCUGAUCCAGCCAUGCCGCGUGCGGGAAGAAGGCCUUCGGGUUGUAAACCGCUUUUGUCAGGGAAGAAAUCUUCUGAGUUAAUACCUCGGGAGGAUGACGGUACCUGAAGAAUAAGCACCGGCUAACUACGUGCCAGCAGCCGCGGUAAUACGUAGGGUGCAAGCGUUAAUCGGAAUUACUGGGCGUAAAGCGUGCGCAGGCGGUUUUGUAAGACAGAGGUGAAAUCCCCGGGCUCAACCUGGGAACUGCCUUUGUGACUGCAAGGCUUGAGUGCGGCAGAGGGGGAUGGAAUUCCGCGUGUAGCAGUGAAAUGCGUAGAUAUGCGGAGGAACACCGAUGGCGAAGGCAAUCCCCUGGGCCUGCACUGACGCUCAUGCACGAAAAGCGUGGGGAGCAAACAGGAUUAGAUACCCUGGUAGUCCACGCCCUAAAACGAUGUCAACUGGUUGUUGGGAAGGUUCCUUCUCAGUAACGUAGCUAACGCGUGAAGUUGACCGCCUGGGGAGUACGGCCGCAAGGUUG